This 287-nucleotide ribosomal RNA is filed under the name uncultured bacterium. Its description in RNAcentral is "partial 16S ribosomal RNA". It matches the Rfam family "Bacterial small subunit ribosomal RNA", at positions 333 to 637 of the family's 1533-position model. The record is from RNAcentral.
UUUUGCCUACGGGGGGCCGCAGUGGGGGAUAUUGCACAAUGGGGGAAACCCUGAUGCAGCGCCGCCGCGUGAGUGAAGAAGUAUUUCGGUAUGUAAAGCUCUAUCAGCAGGGACGAAAAUGACGGUACCUGAGUAAGAAGCCCCGGCUAACUACGUGCCAGCAGCCGCGGUAAUACGUAGGGGGCAAGCGUUAUCCGGAUUUACUGGGUGUAAAGGGAGCGUAGACGGUUAUGCAAGUCUGGAGUGGAAGGCGGGGGCUCAACCCCCGGACUGCUCUGGAAACUGUA